AUCUCCCAAAAGCACAGAAUUUGGGAACUGAGUCCCCCCAGACUUUUAUCCCGGGCAGCUGUAGCAAGGAGUUGUGAAGCAGCUCAAGCUCAGAAGCAUGAACUAGCCCUGGUCGAGGCACCUGGUAGCUCUGCAGGGCCUGGACAUCCUUUCAGCACGGAGGGGGCGAUGCUAGAGACUGGGGAGUGUGACAGCCCAGUCUGGCCAGCGAUGGAAAGUUAGAAACUGGAAAUGACCUGGCUGCCACCCUGACUCAGCCAGCCCCAAAGCAUCUCUACAAAACACCUAGAUCUGAACAAACUGCUGUCCUCUGACAGAAAUAUUCUGUCUGAGAAUUUCUGACCAGCUCUGGUAGUAAACAUCUCCAGGGUGUCGUUUGUGCCUGA
This is a long non-coding RNA of Pogoniulus pusillus (Red-fronted tinkerbird), 386 nucleotides long. RefSeq lists it as uncharacterized. The transcript has 2 exons. Lineage: Eukaryota; Metazoa; Chordata; Aves; Piciformes; Lybiidae. The record is from RefSeq and is a predicted model, not a curated record.